RNAcentral lists this ribosomal RNA (512 nucleotides) under uncultured Diversispora. RNAcentral's name for it is "SSU rRNA". It matches the Rfam family "Eukaryotic small subunit ribosomal RNA", at positions 569 to 1081 of the family's 1831-position model. Lineage: Eukaryota; Fungi; Glomeromycota; Glomeromycetes; Diversisporales; Diversisporaceae. The record is from RNAcentral.
AGCAGCCGCGGUAAUUCCAGCUCCAAUAGCGUAUAUUAAAGUUGUUGCAGUUAAAAAGCUCGUAGUUGAACUUCGGGGUUCACCCAUUGGUCAGGCUUAAUUGUCUGCACUGGUGAGAUGAGUCUCUACCUUCUGAGGAACUUUCAUGCCAUUUAUUUGGUGUGAUUGGAAAUCAGGACUGUUACUUUGAAAAAAUUAGAGUGUUUAAAGCAGGCUAACGUCUGAAUACAUUAGCAUGGAAUAAUGAAAUAGGACGGACUGAUUCUAUUUCGUUGGUUUCUAGGAUCACCGUAAUGAUUAAUAGGGAUAGUUGGGGGCAUUAGUACUCAAUUGUCAGAGGUGAAAUUCUUGGAUUUAUUGAAGACUAACUACUGCGAAAGCAUUUGCCAAGGAUGUUUUCAUUAAUCAAGAACGAAAGUUAGGGGACCGAAGACGAUCAGAUACCGUCGUAGUCUUAACCAUAAACUAUGCCGACUAGGAUCGGAUGAUGUUAAUUUUUAAUGUACUCAUUC